GUACUUCAAGGAUGAUGUGGAGCAAACGGCGGCAACGGCGGCCAUUUUCCGAACUUGGGGUGGUGGAAAUACUUGGGAGGAAGCUUGGGAAGCGGAGGGCACGGCUUCUUCGUAAAUGGAGGAAUCUUCGGAAGAGGAGGAAGUGGCUUGUGAGGAAUAGGAGGGAAGGGUUUCGGUUUGUAAAUAGGAACCGGCGGUGGAAGCGGCUUCUUAUAAACCGGCACCGGAUGAGGCUUAUAAACCGGUGGUUUGUAGACAGGAACCGGCGGUGGAAGCGGCUUCUUGUAGACCGGCACCGGAUGAGGCUUAUAAACCGGUGGUUUGUAGACAGGAACCGGCGGAGGGAGUG
Molecule: long non-coding RNA, 349 nt
Filed under: Gossypium raimondii (Peruvian cotton)
Lineage: Eukaryota; Viridiplantae; Streptophyta; Magnoliopsida; Malvales; Malvaceae
Description: long non-coding RNA (GRAI_LNC010175)
Source: RNAcentral